UCCAUGUACAACUAAAAAUAUUUUAAAAGAAAAAAGGAAUCCCGAGACAAAGAAAAACAUCUUUGACUCUUCCUAACAUCUAUACCAAACAUCACCCAGUAUCUACUAGGUGUCAUCUGUAUUGGACCUCAGAUAUCCAGACCCGCAGUCAUCAUCCGUGACUCAUAUGCCACCAGUGGUCAUCAUUGAUCCAACUUUGUCUCUUCUUUUCUCAAUAAUAUCUACAGGUGCUUAUUGACCAAUUCAUCUUCUCACUGAAAG
This 261-nucleotide long non-coding RNA is filed under the name Marmota monax (woodchuck). Lineage: Eukaryota; Metazoa; Chordata; Mammalia; Rodentia; Sciuridae. The record is from RNAcentral.